Molecule: long non-coding RNA, 1205 nt
Filed under: Bemisia tabaci
Lineage: Eukaryota; Metazoa; Arthropoda; Insecta; Hemiptera; Aleyrodidae
Description: lncRNA ENSSSA2NGG003278
Source: RNAcentral
UCAGUAAUUUUUGGUGUAGGAAUCGUGUUCUAUGUGAAAUUCUGAUUAAGAAACAUGUAUCAGGUUGCUUAAAUUCGUACCUUGUCUGGUGGUCCAUUGCUCAUAGUGUUGAUAAUAGAAUCUUGGAAAUUGAGAACCUGACUUCGUGAAUUGUAUGACUGCGCGUAUAAUUUUCCAGAAUUAUUUCUCGCAGCGUAUAUGCAGUGAAAAUGAGGUAUGCAAAGACGAAAGAGCCAGCGUACAUGUGCGAGGAUACUGACUGGGGAGCCGGUGCAAUUAAGGAGUAAGGCGUGGAAAGUUCUUUACCUGGGCGACUGGUUUUUUCUCUCUGUAGCCAGCCCUGUCAAUGUCGUUCCUCUCGGCGGUGGCGGUCGGCUGGAGCGGGCGCGCCGGCUUCUCGUACUGCGGGGCUUUCGAAGUCUGCUGUCGGACACCCGCGUUCGGACCCUGCGGCCGGAACUGCGCCUUCCUCUGCGGACCCUGCUGGGGCGGGGGGCGGAAGAGCGGCUGUCGCUGCGUCACCGUGACGGCCGGGAGAGUGGGGUCCUGCGCCUCAGGCUCGUCAUCCUCUUCGACAACGGGGCGCUGGGGGGCGAAGGGGCCGUCCGGGAGGGGGCGCCCUUGCGGCGGGAACGGCGAUGGCGCGAACGGGACGGGCGCCCCCGACUUCUGCUCCGACUCGGCGUCCAACGGUGAGAUCCGCCCGGCACGCGCCUGGAAGGGGCGUCGCAGGAACUUGGGCGCCCCGCGGCCGGUGCCUGAGACUGGGCUUGAGGGGCUUGGUCCUCUGGAGCCUGGAUCCGUCGUCCCUGGGGCCUGCACAGUAAGGAAAAGUAACCUGAUAUGCAGAGGCAGAAAUUUGGCAACACCGGAUUUCCUCCAUUUUAACCUACGCUAAAAAAUCGAUUCUUGUUGGAGCACCUGGCCUCUCCAAGAAUCAAUACAUUUCCAUAGGUUUAAAUGGAGAAAAGACAAUGUAGCCAAUUUGUUGGGUUCGACGAUGCUAAUAUGGGAGGUAGAACACAAGCUAAACAAGCGAUGCGAUUAAUAUGAUGAAUGGACUGCGUUUAGCAGAAGGGAACAAAGUCACAUCAGCUAUUGCCUAAUUUAACCGGGCAAUUUAACUUUGUACAAGAGCACGUUUUUGCGGAUUCCUUUGAUAAUUUCAAGGAAUUUGCUUCGUAUUAAGUGGAAAAUUCACUGUA